RNAcentral lists this small nuclear RNA (21 nucleotides) under Arabidopsis thaliana (thale cress). Its description in RNAcentral is "snRNA_18170". Lineage: Eukaryota; Viridiplantae; Streptophyta; Magnoliopsida; Brassicales; Brassicaceae. The record is from RNAcentral.
UCUCGGUCUUGUCGUGCGCGU